AGCAGCCGCGGUAAUUCCAGCUCCAAUAGCGUAUAUUAAAGUUGUUGCAGUUAAAAAGCUCGUAGUUGAAUUUCGGGAUCAAUAUGUUGGUCGUGCCUAGGUACGUACUGUCAUUAUUGGUUUCUCCCUUCUGAAGAACCACGAUGCCAUUAAUUUGGUGUCGUGGGGAAUCAGGACCUGUUACUUUAGAAAAAUUAGAGUGUUUAAAGCAGGCUCGCGCUUGAAUACAUUAGCAUGGAAUAAUGAAAUAGGACGUUUGAUUCUAUUUUGUUGGUUUCUAGGAUCGACGUAAUGAUUAAUAGGGAUAGUUGGGGGCAUUAGUAUUCAAUUGUCAGAGGUGAAAUUUCUUGGAUUUAUUGAAGACUAACUACUGCGAAAGCAUUUGCCAAGGAUGUUUUCAUUAAUCAAGAACGAAAGUUAGGGGAUCGAAGACGAUC
RNAcentral lists this small RNA (437 nucleotides) under uncultured Entrophospora. Its description in RNAcentral is "SSU rRNA". It matches the Rfam family "Eukaryotic small subunit ribosomal RNA", at positions 569 to 1009 of the family's 1831-position model. The record is from RNAcentral. Lineage: Eukaryota; Fungi; Glomeromycota; Glomeromycetes; Entrophosporales; Entrophosporaceae.